CCUACGGGUUGCACCAGUGGGGAAUAUUGGACAGUGGGCGAAAGCCUGAUCCAGCAAUGCCGCGUGUGUGAAGAAGGUCUUCGGAUUGUAAAGCACUUUCGACGGGGACGAUGAUGACGGUACCCGUAGAAGAAGCCCCGGCUAACUUCGUGCCAGCAGCCGCGGUAAUACGAAGGGGGCUAGCGUUGCUCGGAAUGACUGGGCGUAAAGGGCGCGUAGGCGGAUAGAUAAGUCAGAGGUGAAAUCCCGGGGCUCAACCCCGGAAUUGCCUUUGAAACUGUUUAUCUUGAGUGCAGAAGAGGUAAGUGGAAUUCCGAGUGUAGAGGUGAAAUUCGUAGAUAUUGGGAAGAACACCGGUGGCGAAGGCGGCAACCUGGCUCGAUACUGACGCUGAGGCGCGAAAGCGUGGGGAGCAAACAGGAUUAGAUACCCGCGUAGUC
This 440-nucleotide ribosomal RNA is filed under the name uncultured bacterium. RNAcentral's name for it is "bacterial SSU rRNA". It matches the Rfam family "Bacterial small subunit ribosomal RNA", at positions 338 to 795 of the family's 1533-position model. The record is from RNAcentral.